UGCAGCAAGCAAAUCUGGAAGCAAAAAAGGGAGACGGUUAUUGAUCACACCAAUUAAGUGUUCUAGUCAAAUGAUGACAGACGUGACACAUGAUGUUUCCAUAAUUUAGGAAUGUUUGGUGAAAACUGUUCUUUCUCUGGAGUUAUGAAUUACAAAAAAAGUGAAAACGUUAGAUCUUUGUCAAUAUGAGUGUUGACUAUUCACUGUAUAAAUGCCAUCAGUUGGUCAUGAUAAUGUCACGUUACAUCAUUUCUCCUGGCAGAUAACCAAGUUCAUGAUUUAAACCUUCCAAUGCACCUAAAACAACUUCACAGCUACACAGCUGGGACCAAUUUUGCAAUCAAGCCUUGCUGAUUUCAACACCUUGGUUCCAGACUGUGUUGGCAGAAGGUCACUUCACAUCCUCAGGAGAUCGCUUGGAACCAGGACAUCAACCACAACCUGCAGAGUCAAUUGCCAGGUCUGAUCAUCCAGUCGACG
Molecule: long non-coding RNA, 480 nt
Organism: Synchiropus splendidus (mandarinfish)
Lineage: Eukaryota; Metazoa; Chordata; Actinopteri; Syngnathiformes; Callionymidae
Exons: 3
Source: RefSeq, a predicted model, not a curated record